Molecule: ribosomal RNA, 790 nt
Filed under: uncultured Adhaeribacter sp.
Lineage: Bacteria; Pseudomonadati; Bacteroidota; Cytophagia; Cytophagales; Hymenobacteraceae
Description: bacterial SSU rRNA
Rfam family: Bacterial small subunit ribosomal RNA
Source: RNAcentral
AGAGUUUGAUCAUGGCUCAGGAUGAACGCUAGCGGCAGGCCUAAUACAUGCAAGUCGAACGGAUUAGAGUAGCAAUACUCUGAUUAGUGGCGCACGGGUGCGUAACGCGUAUGCAACCUACCUUUUACUGGGGGAUAGCCCGAGGAAACUCGGAUUAAUACCGCAUAACACUAUUUGAGGGCAUCUGAAGAUAGUUAAAGAUUUUAUUGGUAAAAGAUGGGCAUGCGUGCCAUUAGCUAGUUGGUUGAGGUAACGGCUCACCAAGGCUUCGAUGGCUAGGGGUUCUGAGAGGAUGAUCCCCCACACUGGUACUGAGAUACGGACCAGACUCCUACGGGAGGCAGCAGCAGGGAAUAUUGGGCAAUGGAGGCAACUCUGACCCAGCCAUGCCGCGUGCAGGAUGAAGGCCUUCUGGGUUGUAAACUGCUUUUAUCUAGGAAGAAAAAGUCCCUGCGGGGAAAACUGACGGUACUAGGUGAAUAAGCACCGGCUAACUCCGUGCCAGCAGCCGCGGUAAUACGGAGGGUGCAAGCGUUGUCCGGAUUUAUUGGGUUUAAAGGGUGCGUAGGCGGCUUAGUAAGUCCGUGGUGAAAUCCAACAGCUCAACUGUUGAACUGCCAUGGAUACUGCUAGGCUUGAGUACAGACGAGGUAGGCGGAAUGGAUAGUGUAGCGGUGAAAUGCAUAGAUACUAUCCAGAACACCGAUUGCGUAGGCAGCUUACUAGGCUGUAACUGACGCUGAGGCACGAAAGCGUGGGGAGCGAACAGGAUUAGAUACCCUUGUAGUCC